UGUCCACUGAACCUUAUCAUUUAGAGGAAGGAGAAGUCGUAACAAGGUUUCCGUAGGUGAACCUGCGGAAGGAUCAUUGUCGAUGCCUUACAUGCAGACCAACUAGUGAAUCUGUUUGAAUACUUAGGGAUGGCUGGGGUGUUUUGCACCACGACCUCCCUUUGGGUGGGGGGUGGUGCGCAAUGCGUUCCCCCUCCUGCCCGAACACAAACCCCGGCGCUCAAUGCGCCAAGGAACUAAAAUUCGAUCAAUGUGCCCCGUCGGCCCGGAGACGGUGCUUCGGCGGUGGUGCCUUGUCACAUGAUACAGAAUGACUCUCGGCAACGGAUAUCUAGGCUCUUGCAUCGAUGAAGAACGUAGCGAAAUGCGAUACUUGGUGUGAAUUGCAGAAUCCCGUGAACCAUCGAGUCUUUGAACGCAAGUUGCGCCCGAAGCCAUUAGGUUGAGGGCACGUCUGCCUGGGCGUCACAUAUCGUUGCCCGAUGCCUAUUGCAGUGUGAUAGGAAUUUUUAGGGCGAAUGAUGGCUUCCCGUGAGCGUUGUUGCCUCGCGGUUGGUUGAAAAUUGAGUCCUUGGUGGGGUGUGCCAUGAUAGAUGGUGGUCGAGUUAGCACGAGACCCAUCAUGUGUACGCUCCCCAUAAUAUGGCUUCGAUGACCCACAUGCGUCUUUUGACUCUCAUGACGAGACCUCAGGUCAGGCGGGGCUACCCGCUGAAUUUAAGCAUAUCAAUAAGCGGAGGA
RNAcentral lists this ribosomal RNA (741 nucleotides) under Sophora flavescens. Its description in RNAcentral is "eukaryotic LSU rRNA". The stretch from base 313 to 468 matches the Rfam family "5.8S ribosomal RNA". The record is from RNAcentral. Lineage: Eukaryota; Viridiplantae; Streptophyta; Magnoliopsida; Fabales; Fabaceae.